Canis lupus familiaris (dog) is the source of this 6919-nucleotide long non-coding RNA. RefSeq lists it as uncharacterized. NCBI's taxonomy places the organism in Eukaryota, Metazoa, Chordata, Mammalia, Carnivora, Canidae. The record is from RefSeq and is a predicted model, not a curated record. The transcript has 4 exons.
UUCAAUUCAGAACUGCGGCGAGUCCGGCUUCCCCGGGAGCCGGGGCCGCCCGGGCGCCGGGGGCCGAGUUCCGAGGGACUUUGCAAAAGAGGCGCUCGCCUCCCUCCCUGCGCGCCUCCUCCGGGAGCACGGGGAUGCUUGCACCUGCGCCGCCGGGGACCGCCUGGCCAGAGCCGCUGCUCCGCCCCCGGGGACGGGGGGACCUGCGCCCAGGAGCGCUUGGAAAUUGGAUCUUGGCAAAAUUAGCAACGAAUCCAUAAAGGAGACUAAAAGCCAUUUGAUCUCCCUCUUCAAUGACAGUCCCACAAAAGUCGAAGAAAUACAUUAUGUCUCCAAUGAAGAGAGCAGUUGUACCCUAAAAUUAGGACAUGAUUAAGGCUUUGAGGAUUUGGCAGUGAACCACACACGUAGAAGCUCUAACGGAGGUUCCAUUCCAAGGGAGAGAUAAUCAACUGAUAAAAUAUACGCGCCCUCCCCUUCCUCCAACCCACAGCACUUGAACCUCUGCAAAGGCUGCGUUUUUCCAGCCAGUAAUCACACUCUCAACAGACAGCCAAGUGCUGGAGACAAUGGUUCCUCCACCCUCUCAGCUCUACCUCGGCUUCCGUGGAGACAGACUUUCUGUCUCUGAUUUAUGUGCUGAGUCCUCCUUGAGAGAAAUGCCGGGGUGGGGAAAUGCACGACCCUAAAGCAGAUGACUUGCCUCCCAUCAUUGCUCCUACCCCCUGCACACUGUCACUAGAGCACGGGUCAGGAGCCAAGAGGCAUCUUGGAAUAUUCCCUAGAAGAUACGAACCCACCUCACAAGUGCCUUCUCGGGUUACGUCUGCUUUCUUUUAAAUCCAUGCACUGUGAGGUGUGUUGGACUUGGGGGUCUUGGUGCUGUGCUUCCUCACCAUGGAGAGGAGCCCAGAGCAACGGGACUCUGGCCUUGGUAGCAUAAAGGGUCAGCAGGUACCAUCUUGCAUUCACUCCCAGCGUUCUCUUGCCAAACACAGCUGCUCUUUUUAAAUGAAUGGGAAACUAUUUUUAACGUCAGUCAUUGUUCAUUUAGAAUGAAAAAAAAAUGUGUUUCAUCUGACCUUUUCUAAUUAUUUUCCUUUUUACUUCAUAUAAUGAUGCAGGAAAAUUCCUUACAAUGAACUCUGUGUUCAAACCAACCAACUAACCAACCAACAAAAACCCCCAAUUUACUGGUCACCUAGUUCUUCAUUUAUUCCUUGAAAAAUCUACUCCCUAAACCUUAUCAAGGAGUCAUAGAGGAAAGCUAGCACAUUGUUUUGCUUAUUGAGUCUACUGGUAUUUGUAGAGGUAAGAAUAGCGCCAUGACUGUCGCAGAUAAGGACGGGAGUCAAGGAUGGCUCUUGAUGCCUGACCAUACAGAAGAUUGCUUUGUUCCUGGUCAGACAAGGCUUCAGAAAAUUUGGGGUUUCCCAUUUGUUUGGACUUCCCACUUACCACUUUCUAUAUUUUUCUGUAUUAUUAGAAUAGUUUUAUAUUCUAAGCAUCUGAUUAUAUUUUGGUGAGUUUAGAUUGGGUUAGGAAAAGGCAAGAGACAAAGCCAUAAAUAGCCAAAUUCAAACUAGUGUAAUAAUUAAUCCAUAACCUAAAUAACUCUAUUAAUAAUACAGGUUGGUAAAUGUCUCUCACAACGUAUUUUAAAAUUAUUUCUCACAGAGAGCAAGUAUAACUUGAACUGUAUAGUAUUUGUUUUUUAGAAAAUCAAUUCAAUAAUGGGAAAAUAUACCAAGAAAACUAUUUCAAGAUCCAAUGUCUAAUUCUGCAGGUAAUGUAUUCUUUUGUUUAUGAGUUAUACUUCACCCUUCUUCAUUUCAAAUAUUGAAACAUGAGGUGGCUAUUUUUGAAGAAGAAGAAGGAGAAGAAGAUGGAGGAAAAGAAGGAGAGGAAGAAGAAGAAGAAAAAGGAGGAGGAGGAGGGGGAGGAGGAGGAAGGAGAAAGAGGAGCAGGAGGAAGAAAGAAGACCAAGUAUCUAGGGCUUUAAGAAUUAGAUUUAAAAAAAUUAUUUAUUACAAAACAUAAAGCAUUCAAGUUCUUGUUCCAAGGGAAAAUAACAAAGGAAAUAAAUCCAUUAAACAUUCUUGCUCUUCAAAAACAAAAUGAAUGGAAGUGUGUUUCAUGACAUUUUGAGGUCAUACAUGUUUCCUCGUGGCUUCUUAGGAGAUGGGAGGGAAGGUCUAAAUGGAGAGAUUGCCUGUCCAUGUGGCAUGUGGCACCAGUGUGAUGACACUAAUGUGAAGGAACUAGAAGUUCUAGAUUCUUAAAUGCAUUUUUUAAAAAAAGAAAAAAAAUGAGCUUAAAAAACAAUUUGAAUAGGAGGCAAAUGAUAUUAGAAUUAAAGAUCUAAAAUUCUAAGUGUCAUCAAAAAAAUCUCAAAGAGAUAUUUUAUGAGAGUGUAUGUUUUUAAGUGAAUGUGAUGUAAUCCAAAUUUAUAUUCACUUUCAGCUAGUAAUCUAUACUCAAAGGAGUAGUGCCUAUCUGUUUAUUUAAGGUAGAAACUAUGCUGUAUUUGGUGUCAAGUCCUCCUACUGAUACUCUCUGACAUUAAAACAUAGACUCUGAGAAUUUUAAAUUUUACAAAGGAAAACCAAGAUAAAGCAACUUUUAGAAAGAUUCUUUGUUUCUCUUUUUCUUAAGAUAAAGCUUUUGUUCAAGCAUGCCAGUUUAAAAAUCUUUCCUUUUCCUCCCUCCCUCCUUCCUUCCCUUCCUUCUUUUUUUUUUUUUUUUCUUUUUUGUGGUGCAUUUGACUAAGAAAAAAAAUUAUGGUAGCUUUAGACGGAAAAAUAUUUUGUUUAUAUGUGGAGCUUCGAUGCACAGUCACUAAAUUAACAAUAGAAGCAGAGCAUUUGAUUUUCAUGUUUGUUUCUAGACAUUAGCAAAAAUGGAUUAUUUCUGUUUGGAAUUUUGAACUUGGGGCUCCUGCAGACUUGCCUUACGUUUGCAAGGUUUUGUAACAAGUACCUGAACACGCUCUACUGAGAAUUCCAAAACAAACUUUAUAAAGUCAGAAAGUAAGAAAAUGGAUGCAGCUUCCAAAUUCAGCCUAUUCCUGUAGAAAGAUAUUUGAAAACAGCUCUGGCAUACAUUUUUAUGCACCAAUCUCUGAAAUCGUUAAAAAUAUAAAAAGAAAAGGAAUGAGUGCUGAGCAAAUGUUUCAUAGGACAUAUACGAAAGCAUGAAAAGUAAGUCAGCUUAAAGCAAAUUACCAAUCUUUAUUCUUUCAAAUAUUCCUCCAGAUGGAAAUGUCUUACUGCACUUGGAUUAAUUGUAAAGACUCAAACUUAGGAAGUGUCAUUAAGUACAGAACUUCGAAUAAAAUAUAUUUUUCCUUUCCUACCCCCAUCAUCCUGAAGACACACAAAUUGUCCUCAAGAAAAAAUGUCAUGUUUGGGGAAAAUAUACUGUUUAUAAGUAUGUAAAUAUACUGAAUUUCAGGAGACAUGUAUUAAGAAUUUCUCGGUGGGCUAUAUAUAUAUAUUUUUUUUAAUUCCAUUAUUUCUCCUAAAGUAUUCCAAAUUUGUAAUAAUGGACAUACAUCUAAUUUUAAAUUUUACUACCCAUUCCAGUAAGAUAUCUUUAGUAACUAUAGAAACUCAUGAAAAUUGUACUUUUAAUGUAAUAUUGAUUUUAAGUGAGGUAAAAUGUUAUAUUUUAACGGCUGUAGGAAAACUGAAGCCCUUGCCAUUAUUCCUGCCAUGUGCCUCAGGCUUUUUCCCAUAAUAGAAAGGAAAGCAUGUUUGUUGAUAUCUUUUGUCUCCAAUAGAUAUUUUUAGUUUUUUGAUACUAAUUUUAUAUCCCAAAGAAAAGAUAAUAUUUCUCUGGAGUGCCUUUGAAUGUUUCCCGUAGAGGAUGGGAAAACUGUGGUAACUUAAAAGUGCUCAUUGAAAAACAUUUCAUGAAGCCAAUCUUGUUUAUUAGAGUUACAGUCUUGUUGUUUGUGUCCAUAGGACUGUGUGCUUUUAUGGUUGUUUUUAAAUUGGUAUAAGUUAGCAUAAUUUUGUAUCAUUCAGGUGAUCUUAACAAAACUGGGCAGAGUGUAGAAUUGAGAAUGUGAAAGGAACUAUUUUUAAGUGAACACUUAGGUCAAAACUCCGUCUCGUAAAAAUAUUUUUGUUACCCUAAAACAACAAAAAGAUUUGAGGGGACUCUUUGACAAGUUAUUGCCAAAAUUAUUUUUCCUUUUUUUUGCCAGAAAAUAAAAGCUGAAAAUAGACUGAAGCAUAAUAUAUUUUUAUAGCUCUCUCUCCAGAAUGACAGAAUUUUCUGUAAAUCUCAUUAUGUAAAAUAUGCCUUCCCUGUGGUAAGUAUGAGGUAUGGGGAGAAACUAAUUGGAUUGCUCAAAUUAGUCAAUAUGUCUGAAACUAUUUCGGGGAUGCUUAUCCUUUUCGGUAACUACGUAAUUCAAUUUGUUGCUUUCUUGUGAGAAUUCUUUUGAGCAACAAGCAGAAAUCCAGGAUAACAUUAAGAAAUGAGAUUUUAGGCACAGGACGAUGACCACAGAUGACCACAAUGUACACAGGCAUCUCAAAGAGCAUGAUGUCCUGAAAAAUAAGACAAGAUUGGUAGCAUGACAAUGAAUGACCGUCAACUUUUUGGACAUUGAUGUAAGCUGAAUUUAAUAAAAACAAAAGAAAUGUUAGAGAAAGAAGACUAUAGAGUAACGUAUGAUUUUGUUAAGGUCUUUCUAAUGGUAUCUUCUGGGGAAAAUAUCUUCUAGCUAAAAUGAUUUUUUAAUUAAAAAAAAUUCUAAAAGGCUAGAACAUUUUCCCUUGAGGAUAUUAUAAUUGACAGGAUCUUAACUAUUAGUAAAUAAGUCCUUGUGUUGCUGUAAAUCAGCCGUGGAAUAAAUAUUUCACUUGCUGAGACUUUUUUAUAAAUAUCAAUAUUUAUGUUAAUGUGACUGAUUUCUGGGUAAACAUAGUCCUAUAUACACAUCUGAACUCCAUUGGCCCCUUGGAGUUAAUUGCCUUGGAAGGUGGUGCCACAGGCCAGGGACUCCGCCAUUGGUCACAACUUUUGGGGGAUUGCCUUUAAAUCCAACUCCAUUUAUUUUUAAACUCCAUUUUUUAAAAAAGGUUUUAUUUAUUUAUUCACAAGAGACACGCGGAGAGAGGCAGAGACACAGGCAGAGGGAGAAGCAGGCUCCCUGCGGGGAGCCCAAUGAGGGUCUCGAGAUCGAGACCCCAGGGUCACUCCCUGAGCCAAAGGCAGAUGCUCAACCACUGAGCCACCCCGGUGUCUCUAAACCCCAUUUUUAAAAGAUACUGAAAGAAGACAAGUCUCCAUCCUUUGAGGGUGAUUCAGUUUUCAAGAAUAUAGCUGGAAAACCCCUGUGACAUUUGGUGCAUAAAGUAGUUUGAUCAUUGAUACACAAGGACUGAAAUAAAACAACUAAUCUAAUCUGUGCUGAAUGAAAUCCCUCUAAAGUUCAUUGUGGUGGACAGAACCAGAUUAUUUGGAUAUUUGUUCUGAACACCCACCUGGAGGAAAUACUAAAAAGGGAUCAGAAAAUAAUCUUUACUGGACCUCAAGGAGGGAACAGUAUGUGGUUAAUAUAGUUAGAGGGCAUGCAACUCAUUCCUCAAGGUAUGUUUUGGUAAGAACAGAAUUAGAUAAAGAGGAACUUUUAUCUAACCAGAGCACUCCGCUCCCCCCCUCCCCUGCUGUCCUUUAUAUAUAUAUAUGACUAUUUACUAAACAAAACAUGGGGACAGUUAAAGCAUACAGUGUUGAAUCGGUCCCCAAAUUGUUAUCCUUUCCGCGGUACCCACGUCUUGUUCAAUCGAGAUAAUACAGACAUGUUUUCAAAAAUGAAAAUAUUAUCAGAAGAAGUAUAUAGUCUACCAAGAGGUAUUUGGGGCUUGGACACCUGUUUAUGAUUGCAAGGUUUAAACACACGGUUACCUUUGUUCACGUCACCUGAAGACAACAUAUGGCCUAUUGCACAGAAGAGUAAAAUUCAUCAUUUCAUCAGAUGCUAUAUUAAAGAGAAAGAAUUAUUUGUUGGAAAAUUAACCCUGUGCGUUGCUCUCUAUCAAUUGUUCGGAUAACAGUUGGCCAAGAUCCCCGAUGAGCUUUAUUUAACCUGUUCACGCUUUUCCACAGCAGAACCUUUGAGAAUGAUUAGCUUCUGGGAUUUAGACUUUAGAUUCCAGAUCGUCCAGAUGUGUGGGGCCCCUGCAUGGAAGUUAGCUGCUUCUCUGUGGUUUUACAGAGUCAGGAAAAGGAGGAAUAGAUGGGACAUGGACUCUGUUUGAGCAGUUAGAUAUUCUAGAUAGAUGUGUGCCAGAGAAUUAAGGAGGAGGCGACAAGCACACGCUGAUCACCAACUAUGUUCAAGGAAAUAUGUUAGGUCCUCUGGUCCACAGAUGAGUGAGAAACAGUUCCCGACCUCAAGGAUCUCCCUGUCUAGUGGGGAAAAUAGACAAAGUAAGAGAAGUAUACGAAAAAGGGGGGGGGGUUCAUAAAAUUAUCUGCGUAUCCAUUUUUCAUUUUUAGAGUCCAUUUCACAGAGAAAAUAUAUAUAAUGUUGAAACUAGAAGUCUGUGUCUCCUCAGUGUACAUGUCUUUAGUUCAUUGUAUUUCGUUAUUCUCUCAUUUUAAAAUUCAGUAGGCAACAUUAAUUGGCCUUUAAAAGUCUUGGGGUAUAGAACAUUAUGUUAUCUUCUUGCACGAUUAAAAAAUAAUUCUUAGCUAAUAAUCAUGCAGCAAAAAGGUAUUUAAAAUAGAUUCUAAGUAAUUAUAUAGAGAGAAUUUGAUAAGGAGGCGAGAUGGGUGGUAACCAUAGAAUUCCGUCAUUCAUUGAUAGCUUGUCUCAAAUUCUCUAGCGUUUUUGAAUCUCUGUGUUAAUUGAGUAUAUAAUUUAAUACUUUUUAGAGAAUAAAUAUUUGUCUUUAUCCUA